CCUACGGGCGGCAGCAGUGGGGAAUUUUGGACAAUGGGGGCAACCCUGAUCCAGCCAUUCCGCGUGAGUGAAGAAGGCCUUCGGGUUGUAAAGCUCUUUUGUCCGGAGCGAAACGGGCGGCCCUAAUACGGUCGUCUACUGACGGUACCGGAAGAAUAAGCACCGGCUAACUACGUGCCAGCAGCCGCGGUAAUACGUAGGGUGCGAGCGGUAAUCGGAAUUACUGGGCGUAAAGCGGUAACAGGCGGGUGAACUCCCCGGGCUCAACCUGGGAAUGGCAUUUGGGACUGCAAGGCUGGAGUGUGGCAGAGGGGACUAGAAUUCCUGGUGUAGCAGUGAAAUGCGUAGAUGUCAGGAGGAAUACCGAUGGCGAAGGCAGGUCCCUGGGUUAACACUGACGCUCAUGCACGAAAGCGUGGGGAGCAAACAGGAUUAGAUACCCGGGUAGUC
RNAcentral lists this ribosomal RNA (450 nucleotides) under uncultured bacterium. RNAcentral describes it as "partial 16S ribosomal RNA". It matches the Rfam family "Bacterial small subunit ribosomal RNA", at positions 338 to 795 of the family's 1533-position model. The record is from RNAcentral.